UACGUAGGGACCAAGCGUUGUUCGGAUUUACUGGGCGUAAAGGGCGCGUAGGCGGCGAAUCAAGUCAGCUGUGAAAUCUCCGAGCUUAACUCGGAACGGUCAGCUGAUACUGUUUUGCUAGAGUGCAGAAAGGGCAACCGGAAUUCUUGGUGUAGCGGUGAAAUGCGUAGAUAUCGUGAGGAACACCAGAGGCGAAGGCGGCUACCUGGACAAUUGCUGACGCUCAGGCACGAAAGCGUGGGGAGCAAAAGGG
This 253-nucleotide ribosomal RNA is filed under the name uncultured bacterium. Its description in RNAcentral is "partial 16S ribosomal RNA". It matches the Rfam family "Bacterial small subunit ribosomal RNA", at positions 524 to 776 of the family's 1533-position model. The record is from RNAcentral.